AACGAACGCUGGCGGCGUGGCUAAGACAUGCAAGUCGAACGGACUGCUCAAUUUAUUGGACAGUUAGUGGCGAAAGGGUUAGUAACGGGUAGGUAACGUACCCUGUGCUUUGGGAUAGCGUCGGUUGCUUCGGUAACCUUCCGAAAGGGGCGGUAAUACCAAAAAUAUCACUUGUUUAUAGACAGGUGAUCAAAGAUUUAUCGGCACAGGAGCGGCCUGCCUCCUAUCAGCUUGUUGGUGAGGUAACGGCUCACCAAGGCAACGACGGGUAGCGGGACUGAGAGGUUGGCCCGCAACAUCGGGACUGAGACACUGCCCGGACCUCCACGGAGGGCUGCAGUAACGAAUAUUGUGCAAUGGGCGAAAGCCUGACACAGCGACGCCGCGUGUAGGAGGAAGUCCUUCGGGAUGUAAACUACUGUCAGGGGGAAGAAAGUGCGUUUCGGCGCAUUGAUCCAACCCAAAGGAAGUCACGGCUAACUUCGUGCCAGCAGCCGCGGUAAGACGAAGGUGGCAAGCGUUGUUCGGUAUCACUGGGCUUAAAGCGUGUGUAGGCGGAAAAGUAAGCGUUUCGUGAAAGCCCCCGGCUUAACCGGGGAACUGCGCAAUGAACUGCUUUUCUUGAGGCAAGUAGGGGCGCAUGGAACUCUUGGUGGAGCGGUGGAAUGCGUAGAUAUCAAGAGGAACGCCAGUGGAGAAAUCGGUGCGCUGGGCUUGUCCUGACGCUGAGACACGAAAGCGUGGGUAGCGAACGGGAUUAGAUACCCCGGUAGUCCACGCCGUAAACGAUGCCUACUAGGUUGUGAAAGUUCUGACACUGGCACAGCCGAAGCAAAAGUGUUAAGUAGGCCGCCUGGGGAGACGGUCGCAAGGCU
This 875-nucleotide ribosomal RNA is filed under the name uncultured Planctomycetota bacterium. RNAcentral describes it as "bacterial SSU rRNA". It matches the Rfam family "Bacterial small subunit ribosomal RNA", at positions 28 to 895 of the family's 1533-position model. Lineage: Bacteria; Pseudomonadati; Planctomycetota. The record is from RNAcentral.